Long non-coding RNA from Daphnia pulicaria, 946 nucleotides. RefSeq lists it as uncharacterized. The transcript has 5 exons. Lineage: Eukaryota; Metazoa; Arthropoda; Branchiopoda; Diplostraca; Daphniidae. The record is from RefSeq and is a predicted model, not a curated record.
GACUUGAAGCCCGUAUGAUAAAAUAAAAUUGAUAGUCAAAGUAGUAGUACACUCGCUUCCAUAAAUAUGUAGGCCACCGCCCGCGGGUUGUACCGCUUCAAAUUGAAGUAGCUACUCCAAUUAAGAACUCACUACCUAGUUCUGAAAAAAAGGUCUCAGCGUUUAAGAGAUUUGAAAGUCGAUUGGGAUCUCCCAGUCCCAGCUGGCGUUUCGCAGCUAACGCUGUCAUCAGUUAAACGAACUUAUGGGAGAACCUGUAAAAAACCUACUAGUCACUGAAACCAGUAGAAGCUAGAAGUUCUGAUACUCCUAUAGAAGACAGUAUUGUCUCUACUGAAUAUGAGAACGAAAAAAAACGUCUGAGUGCCAUAUCUUUCGUUGAUUGUUGGGCCAUCUGUAGCCUGUCUAUCGAAUAUUGAUGCUUCUUCGACGACCCACAGUUACGAUUGAAGAUAGUCACAGUUCUGGAACUCUUUUGGGACAGCAGCGUCUCUAUAGAAUAUGACGAAAACGCCGCAAAUUUGAAGAAAAAGCGUGCCAUCGUUCAUUGUUGGACCGUCUUUAGCCAGUCUAUCGAACAGUGAAGCUUCUUCGACUAGAUUACCCACAGUUCUGAUGGAAGAAAGUCGAAGUUCUAAUACUCCUGUAGGAGACAGCAUCGUCUCUAUUGAAUAUGACCAGAAUGACCCAGGAUCGAAGAAAAAGCAUAUAGUACCGCCGUUGAUUGUUGGACCAUCUCUAGCUUGUCUUAUUUUUCUUUUCAGAAUUAUCAUCCUGUUGGAGUAAUAUUGUAGGAUAGAAUAGAAGUCACUGUAUGUUAUCACCGAACGCUAUCAAUCUCCAGUAAAAGAAGUGCUGAUAGGUAGUUACUUACAUUUAAUUUUAACAAGAUCCGGUGUGACGUGGGGUGGCGGGGCGAAGCCUCCGCCGCACCAAAGUCACGCCU